AAGGGAGGGACCGAAUCAGAGUUUAGCCAAUAGAAUAAUAUAGGUGUCCUCCCUCUCCAAAAUAAUGGGUCACGUUUACCACCACUGACAGCGCAAGGGCCAUCCCUGGCUAGACAGUCUACUGUGGGACUUUCCUUAUCACGGAAACAUCAAGGAAAAGAAAGGUCAUUGAUAGUGUGAGCACUUACAGAAACUACAAGCUCAUCCGUGAUUUCUACAAGUCCGUCAACUCCCUCUGCAGACCUGAAGGAAUGGGGAAAGUGGGAUGGAGUGAUUCAGAAAGAAGGGGGGGCUGAGGAGCAACAGACCCUCACCUCGCACCGAACAGCCAAUCACGGCGCUGAAUUCAGCUCUGUCUGACGUCGACCAUUACACUGCCCCGCCUCUCCCAUAGAAAAUGACAAGGGGAUCUUUGUUGACGUCAUCUUGCCAACGCCUGAUUGGCCAAACCGGAGAUGUCUCCCAGCCAAUUGCCGAACGCAGUGGUGAUGUCAUCACGCAUGUUGCCACCAGCUGGACCAAGGGGGUGUGGUCUGUCGUAAACUCUGCUCACCAGUGUUUACUGCAAGUACGGUAGUACGAGAGAGAGCCAGGCUGCAUGGAACAGUGGCGUGCCGAACCUCUGUAGUAGUAUGGCAGUCACACACAGUAGGACUACGACUACAACGGACUUCUAGCCUAUUCUCAAUAGCACACUGGCAGAUUUUCAGAAAAAAUAUAUAUAACAUUUUUGUUCUGGAUGUUUUUCUGCAGUACCUUUGAAAGAUACAUUUGGUUUGAGGUCUUUAUCUUUGAUUCUGAUUUAGUGACAGAGAUAUAGAGCAGUACUCUUCUCUUUUUUUCCAGGCUGUGCAAGCCAACAAAGACAGUUACAUAGUAAACAUUACAUCAUCCUUAUUUCUCUUGUAGUAGACAGACAAACAGACUCACGCAGAGACAGACAGCUUGGGCAGAAGCCUCUCACAGCGUCCUCACUGUCGGUGUCCCCUGUUAGUGUUCCCUCACAUGCCAUAUGGAAACGAUUAAAGAAAGAUGAAAAUAGUAGAAUCUCUGUUUAUACAAAAUAAUACAUCUUGAUUAAAAAAGACAACACAAAAAUCUGAAAGACACCAGCAGGUAAAGAGGCAG
RNAcentral lists this long non-coding RNA (1128 nucleotides) under Salmo salar (Atlantic salmon). RNAcentral describes it as "lncRNA (ENSSSAG00000101461.1)". The record is from RNAcentral. Lineage: Eukaryota; Metazoa; Chordata; Actinopteri; Salmoniformes; Salmonidae.